UAGCAUUGCUAGCUUAUUUUGAUGGCGGUAGGCAGUUGUUCCUCUGGGUUCGUCUGUUACCCUUUUCUUGACUUUAAGCAAGGUAAGUAACUAAGAUGCCGAACUGUGUGGAAUAAUUAUCAGUCAUACCUUUAUCAGAUCUGAAUACACUUCCUAGAUUAACCAAAUGCACAUUGCUGCAUCGACUGUUUGAAUUUGAAUGCCUCACGUUGGUUUAUGGUUUUAACUGCAAAAUGGCAUUCUUUUAAUUUAGUGUCGCCAUUAAUUAAUUGUUUCCAGGGGAGACGAUUUUUUUCUCAUUCUUGUAAUAUUUUCCUUUAUUACUAUAUUUCCGUCACCUGAGUGUUAGUAUAGCUACACUGUAGGUCAUGUAUUAAGUACUACACGUUUCGUACAUUUCAUGGCAACAUUUAGGUAAGUACAGCUUUUCUUAUAUUCAGAUUUUUCUCUGAUAUGUUAGUGCUCCGUACAUUUCUUUUUUUCAGUAUUUAGACAGUUUGAGUGUUUAUUUCCAGUUUUUAUGUUCUAUGUAAUGCCUCUUUUGUAUUAAGUGUUAUAUAAUUAAAGUUGUAGUUAAAGUAAUAACAUAUUAAUUAUAAAGGUAUAUUUAUCUGGGGAAUUCAGGCAGUUGUGGAAUUUGUUCUCUGUGUGAUCUGAACUUGUGUGUUUUUGAGGGGUGCCUGUGUGGGUUUCUUUUCUUACCUGGUGCUGCUGUUCUAGUUGUGUGUUUUGUUGGUGUAUGGGUAUGAGAUGUUUUGUUUCCUCCGUUUUUCUGUGUCUUUUUUUUUUCUUGUGCUUUUAUCUAAAAUUCUUUUGUUGUUGUUUACCUAUAUGUUGUACAGGGGAAAUCCAUGCAUUAUAUAUUUUGUAUGAUAGGCAACUUUCUGUUCCCUGUAUUGUAAUGUUGAGCAAAUUAAUUUUUGUUGUUCUGUUCCUUUUACAUGGUAAAUUGUAAGUUUGGUUUGAUGUCGAAUUCUUGCAGUAUAAGUUUUGUUUCGGUUAAGUUUUUGAUUGUAAUUCAGUAAUUUGUUGUGUACGUAUUUGUAGGUACCCAUUUUCUUGUGUCUUAUGGGAGUGUUGCCCUGUAGGAACUGUGAGAAUAUUGCAGAAGAUGGUGCUGUCAUUCUGAGGCUUUUUUCUUGUUUCUAGCAGUUGCUAUUAAUUUGGGAGGAAGACUGUGAUAGAAUGGUGUCCGCUAUGUUCUCUCUUUCUCCGAUUGUAUUUUGUUGUUUGUUGUCAUUAUUUAGUACGGUCUGUUUUAUGGUGGUGAAUUUCCUUGUUGGUAUGUAUUUUUAUAAUUUUUCACCAGCGAUAUGUGCCCAAACUGUGAUGAACAUGUUUGUAGCAUUACAGUGGUAGUUCUGGCAUGCAGCCAUCAAGGAACAGUGGUUCUUGCUGAAAAUCAUAAGAGUAUCAGGUUUCAGAAAUUAAGUUCCAUCCCCGUUGUGACCAGCUGACAAAGAGAAAGACACAAGCGUAUCAGCCACCAAGGAAUGGGAUGUGUGUGUCAUCUCUACGGAGCUGCAUGUGCGCCACCACCAAGGUCUGAAUGUGAAUCACAUGAGGAUGUGUGGUAGGAUAUUGUUUUUAGAGUUUGUGGAGAAUCCCUUGUUUUCCUGUGUCUCAGAAGGGUUAAAAUGUAUUGAUUAUAUUUAGCAGAGAGUACAGUUUCUGAAGCUCCCCAUUGUGCAAUUUUCUGCAGCCUCAUAUUAUUUCAUUCCUCUUCUGUCCAGAUAUUCUCAGCAUCCCGUUGCAAUUGUUCAACUUAAUGUCCAUUAUUUAUCGUCCAUCAGUACCUUGACAAGAGGACUACAGCAUGUGAUUUGAACAGGGACUUAGACAGUGUAGGAGUUUUAACAUAAUAUAAUGAAAAAUAUUUGUAAUAUAUCAAGACACCUGAAGAUGGCCGUUUGGGGCCGGAACAUGCAGUGUCUAGGUGUAUAAUGUUAAAGUAAAAUUAAAAUUAAAUAGUGAACAAAUAAGUGUUGCAGUAUUGACGGACAAUAAAUAAUGGACGUUAAGUUGAGUAAUACAGUUUAAAUGGGAAAUUUCUUGCCAGAGCCAAAUUUGAUGACAUUUGGUUCAGGUAUUCAAGUCAUAUUAAGGUUAUUAUCUAAAAGGAUUUGAGAGGCUUCACUGUUGGUAUUACUGAUGAGAGGGAUUUCUCAAGUGCUCAGUUGAGAUGGCCCCAGGAAUCGUGAUAUACAUACCAAGUUUCAUGAAGGCCAGUAAAAGUGUUCAGCAAUUGUUAGGGGUGAUUAACAGACACACACAGCCAGUUGAUUUCCUGUCUACUUCUGAUUUUAGGAAUAUGAAAAUGGGCCAAAAGGAGAAGGGAACGACAUACAGAUGUGGGGCAAAAAUGUACAUAUGAGAUUUCCUCCUGAAUAGCAGAUGCCAGAAAAGCAUAAUUUUAUAAUAACACUAACUGUAACAAAAUACUGUAACUGCAUGUUAGGCAGAAGUGGCAAACAUUCAAGUCAUAACUGUUAGACAUAUUUACAUUGUUACAUACUUCAUUUGCAGCUAAGGUGAAGCGAACAUGACAUGUAUCAGGAUAUUUUGUUACAGAUCUGCCAUUUCUUAUUGUACAUAUUUAUUUUUUAGGCAACAUCUUCAGGCAGGAGAAAGGAAUGGCAUCAAAGUGGAAGAAGGUUUAUGAUGGUGACCCUCCUCCUAAGAAAAGUGAGGCUGAUGCAAUUGGAAGAAACUGAACAAGAACCCGUUGACUCGCCUGGCAAUAGCACCAGUACCGCACAUUCAAAUUUCCUGCUAAAUGGCAAAGGGGAUGAUAAGAAUGACGAUGGCCUGGUCUUAGAUGCUGACUGAGACCUUCUGUGGGAGAUGGCUGAGUUAUUAAAUGAUUUGAAGUUUGAAAUGUCUACUUAUAUAAACAGAAACCAAUAGUCUGUUAUUUUCUUAGAGCACUCAGAUGUGUCAGAACUAGUUGGAACUUGCAUGAUUAAAAGAAAUGUUGUCACUGUGCUUAGUUUCUUGACCUCAGCACUGGAUGGAGGUGAGUGGUCAGCUUCACUUCCCUCCAGCUUUACCCGCAGAGAGAUUGCAGAACUGGUUUAUUACAUCAACUUCCACUCUUGAGAGAGAUUAAAAAUGGGAAUAUUCAGAGGACCCAGUAUGAGUGUACUCAGUGUCAGUGUGAAGGAAGAAAUAGCAGGCAGUACGUACGUUUGGUGUUGAGCUACCAGACAUGCCAGAUACAAGAGUAUAGCUUUGGUUGGCAGCAUUACAUUCAUAACAUCCGCCUGUAUAGAUGUACCAGUAGUAAAUUAAGAAACCUAUAAAAGCGCUGUCAGAAUACAGCAUCAGAUGUUAUUUGCUUGAUUUAAUUAAUUGAUAACCUGAUGUAAUUUGACGUUGAAAUGUCAUCAGGGUGUUUCAUCAGAAUACGCUUGAAAGCUGUUCAGGGUUCUUAUAUGAUUUUAUUUAUAUUCUAAAAAUGUAUACUGUACUUAGUAAAACAAGUGAAGUAAUAACAUGAUAUGAUUCCUUUAUGCAAUUCAAGCCCUUUCAGGUGUUCCAAAUUCAUGUACAAAAUCUAUAUAAACAGUGAUAUGUUUUUCUGUGUGAUGAUAGGCUGUAGUGCUAUAUGUUACAGAGUUCUGCUGAAUUAAGAUGGCAUUCACAUCCUUACUGAUAUGAAUGAUGGCUUCAUUCCUGUAACAUAUGAAAUUGCUACGGUUGUGUGUGAUGUCCCAUUUGUCCUGACGGGAGCCGGAGUUAAUUUUUUAAAUUUACGGUGGAUUACAGAGUUACACAAUACAGUGUGAAAGUGCCAGCAACAAUUUUAGAAUUGUUCCACUGUUUUUGUAGGAUAUGCUGUGGGUCUUAGAGGUGGCGCUGCACAAUGCAUAGGAGCUACGGAAGUAGGAGAGGAAGCUGGUGGCAGAACAGUUUUUGAAUCAAGCAAGAGGAAACAUAGUCAGAUUGACAGUUGCUCAGAUACUGAACGAUUUUGGGGCCCACGGGAAGGCCAUGUUGAGAAGAGAGCAGUGAAACCAAGUGAAGGAGCAGCUGCUGAGUUAGAGAAGAUCCUUGCAAGAGGACAAGCGAAAAGGAGGAGGAAUGAAAAACCUCUGGACGAAAAGUCGGAGUUACACAGCUCAACCACCUGGAAGGAGUGCUGUGACAAUGACGACAAAGAUAUUCUGGUUCUGGACGUGGAAGUUUUA
Long non-coding RNA from Cryptotermes secundus, 4190 nucleotides. RefSeq lists it as uncharacterized. The record is from RefSeq and is a predicted model, not a curated record. The transcript has 3 exons. Lineage: Eukaryota; Metazoa; Arthropoda; Insecta; Blattodea; Kalotermitidae.